AGUCGAACGGCAGCACGGACUUCGGUCUGGUGGCGAGUGGCGAACGGGUGAGUAAUGUAUCGGAACGUGCCUAGUAGCGGGGGAUAACUACUACAGCGUAGCUAAUACCGCAUAACUGCCCUUCGGGGGAAAGCGGGGACUCGGGCCUCGUGCACUAUUAGGAGCGGCCGAUAUCGGAUUAGCUAGUUGGUGGGGUAACGGCUCACCAAGGCGACGAUCCGUAGCUGGUUUGAGAGGACGACCAGCCACACUGGGACUGAGACACGGCCCAGACUCCCAUGGGAGGCAGCAGUGGGGAAUUUUUGGGACAAUGGGGAAACCCCGAUCCAAAGCCAUCCCGCGUGUGCGAUGAAGGCCUUCGGGUUGUAAAGCACUUUUGGCAGGAAGUGAACGGCACGGGAUAAUACCCCGUGCAACUGACGGUACCUGCAGAAUAAGCACCGGCUAACUACGUGCCAGCAGCCGCGGUAAUACGUAGGGUGCAAGCGUUAAUCGGAAUUACUGGGCGUAAAGCGUGCGCAGGCGGUUCGGAAAGAAAGAUGUGAAAUCCCAGAGCUUAACUUUGGAACUGCAUUUUUAACUACCGAGCUAGAGUGUGUCAGAGUGGGAGGGUGAAUUCCGCGUGUAGCAGGAAAUGCGUAGAUAUGCGGAGGAACACCGAUGGCGAAGGCAGCCUCCUGGGGAUGACGACUACGCUCAUGCACGAAAGCGUAUGCGGGGAGCAAACAGGAUUAGAUACCCCGGUAGUCCACGCCCUAAACGAUGUCAACUAGCUGUUGGGGCCUUCGGGCCUUGGUAGCGCAGCGCUAACGCGUGAAGUUGACCGCCCAGAGUACGGUCGCAAGAUUAAAACUCAAAGGAAUUGACGGGGACCCGCCAAGCGGUGGAUGAUGUGGAUUAAUUCGAUGCAACGCGAAAAACCUUACCUACCCUUGACAUGUCUGGAAUCCCGAAGAGAUUUGGGAGUGCUCGCAAGCAGGAACCGGAACACAGGUGCUGCAUGGCUGUCGUCAGCUCGUGUCGUGAGAUGUUGGGUUAAGUCCGGCACAACGAGCGCAACCCUUGUCAUUAGUUGCUACGAAAGGGCACUCUAAUGAGACUGCCGGUGACAAACUGGAGGAAGGUGGGGAUGACGUCAAGUCCUCAUGGCCCUUAUGGGCAGGGCUUCACACGUCAUACAAUGGUCGGGACAGAGGGUCGCCAACCCGCGAGGGGGAGCCAAUCCCAGAAACCCGGUCGUAGUCCGGAUCGCAGUUCGCAACUCGACUGGGUGUGAAGUCGGACCGCUAGUAAUCGCGGAUCAGCAUGUCGCGGUGAAUACGUUCCCGGGUCUUGUACACACCGCCCGUCACACCAUGGGAGUGGGUUUUACCAGAAGUAGUUAGCCUAACCGUAAGGAGGGCGAUUACCACGGUAGGAUUCAUGACUGGGGUGAAGUCGUAACAAGGUAA
This 1451-nucleotide ribosomal RNA is filed under the name uncultured Bordetella sp. RNAcentral's name for it is "partial 16S-23S ribosomal RNA intergenic spacer". It matches the Rfam family "Bacterial small subunit ribosomal RNA". Lineage: Bacteria; Pseudomonadati; Pseudomonadota; Betaproteobacteria; Burkholderiales; Alcaligenaceae. The record is from RNAcentral.